RNAcentral lists this ribosomal RNA (500 nucleotides) under Leifsonia sp. 98AMF. RNAcentral describes it as "bacterial SSU rRNA". It matches the Rfam family "Bacterial small subunit ribosomal RNA", at positions 1 to 1010 of the family's 1533-position model. The record is from RNAcentral. Lineage: Bacteria; Bacillati; Actinomycetota; Actinomycetes; Micrococcales; Microbacteriaceae.
GUUUCCUUAUGUGUAUCUAACGAUUCGCGUGUCGGAUUAUUGGGGCGGUAAGAGCUCGUAGGCGGUCUGUCGCGUCUGCUGUGAAAACCCGAGGCUCAACCUCGGGCCUGCAGUGGGUACGGGCAGACUAGAGUGCGGUAGGGGAGAAUGGAAUUCCUGGUGUAGCGGUGGAAUGCGCAGAUAUCAGGAGGAACACCGAUGGCGAAGGCAGUUCUCUGGGCCGUAACUGACGCUGAGGAGCGAAAGCGUGGGGAGCGAACAGGAUUAGAUACCCUGGUAGUCCACGCCGUAAACGUUGGGCGCUAGAUGUGGGGACCAUUCCACGGUUUCCGUGUCGCAGCUAACGCAUUAAGCGCCCCGCCUGGGGAGUACGGCCGCAAGGCUAAAACUCAAAGGAAUUGACGGGGGCCCGCACAAGCGGCGGAGCAUGCGGAUUAAUUCGAUGCAACGCGAAGAACCUUACCAAGGCUUGACAUAUACGAGAACGGGCCAGAAAUGGU